RNAcentral lists this unclassified non-coding RNA (280 nucleotides) under Hevea brasiliensis (rubber tree). Lineage: Eukaryota; Viridiplantae; Streptophyta; Magnoliopsida; Malpighiales; Euphorbiaceae. The record is from RNAcentral.
UGUCUGUGCCCAGGUUUCUCUACUAUUCACAUGCACAUAAAUAUAAGAGAUUUGGUUAGUUUGCAACUUUAAAUUGCUUCAUAGAUCAUUAUAGAAAUCUUGUAUUUAAACUUCAGAACUAUAAAAGAAAGGCCUCUGGGGCACAAGGAGCCACAAGCAAUGUAAAAUUGGCUUUACUCAAUUCUCUUAAGGUUAGGCUUUAAAUAUGUAAAAAAAAGAACUUAAUUGGUCUCCUAUAACCAUUUAGUUUGUCUUAGGAGGAAGUUUUUAGAGGUAAGGG